Molecule: non-coding RNA, 28 nt
Filed under: Homo sapiens (human)
Lineage: Eukaryota; Metazoa; Chordata; Mammalia; Primates; Hominidae
Source: RNAcentral
UCUCACAAUGGCUUGGGUCCAGACUGCG